RNAcentral lists this ribosomal RNA (425 nucleotides) under uncultured rumen bacterium. RNAcentral's name for it is "bacterial SSU rRNA". It matches the Rfam family "Bacterial small subunit ribosomal RNA", at positions 354 to 776 of the family's 1533-position model. The record is from RNAcentral.
GUGAGGAAUAUUGGUCAAUGGACGGAAGUCUGAACCAGCCAAGUAGCGUGCAGGAUGACUGCCCUAUGGGUUGUAAACUGCUUUUAUACGGGGAUAAAGUCAGGGUCGUGACCCUGUUUGCAGGUACCGUAUGAAUAAGGACCGGCUAAUUCCGUGCCAGCAGCCGCGGUAAUACGGAAGGUCCAGGCGUUAUCCGGAUUUAUUGGGUUUAAAGGGAGCGUAGGCCGGAGAUUAAGUGUGUUGUGAAAUGUAGAUGCUCAACAUCUGCACUGCAGCGCAUACUGGUUUCCUUGAGUACACGCAACGUUGGCGGAAUUCGUCGUGUAGCGGUGAAAUGCUUAGAUAUGACGAAGAACUCCGAUUGCGAAGGCAGCUGACGGGAGUGCAACUGACGCUGAAGCUCGAAAGUGCGGGUAUCGAACAGG